Small nucleolar RNA from Callithrix jacchus (white-tufted-ear marmoset), 104 nucleotides. NCBI's taxonomy places the organism in Eukaryota, Metazoa, Chordata, Mammalia, Primates, Cebidae. The record is from Ensembl.
AUCCUUUUGUAAUUCAUAAGCAUGAAGACUUGGUAUUUAUGUGCAUGUGUGAGAUGUGCCACCCUGGAACCUUGUUACGACGUCAUCACAUUACAGGUCUGACU